This 862-nucleotide ribosomal RNA is filed under the name Salmonella enterica. RNAcentral describes it as "partial 23S ribosomal RNA". It matches the Rfam family "Bacterial large subunit ribosomal RNA", at positions 897 to 1756 of the family's 2925-position model. Lineage: Bacteria; Pseudomonadati; Pseudomonadota; Gammaproteobacteria; Enterobacterales; Enterobacteriaceae. The record is from RNAcentral.
CGGGGGUAGAGCACUGUUUCGGCUAGGGGGCCAUCCCGGCUUACCAACCCGAUGCAAACUGCGAAUACCGGAGAAUGUUAUCACGGGAGACACACGGCGGGUGCUAACGUCCGUCGUGAAGAGGGAAACAACCCAGACCGCCAGCUAAGGUCCCAAAGUCAUGGUUAAGUGGGAAACGAUGUGGGAAGGCCCAGACAGCCAGGAUGUUGGCUUAGAAGCAGCCAUCAUUUAAAGAAAGCGUAAUAGCUCACUGGUCGAGUCGGCCUGCGCGGAAGAUGUAACGGGGCUAAACCAUGCACCGAAGCUGCGGCAGCGACGCUGAUGCGUUGUUGGGUAGGGGAGCGUUCUGUAAGCCUGCGAAGGUGGCCUGUGAGGGUUGCUGGAGGUAUCAGAAGUGCGAAUGCUGACAUAAGUAACGAUAAAGCGGGUGAAAAGCCCGCUCGCCGGAAGACCAAGGGUUCCUGUCCAACGUUAAUCGGGGCAGGGUGAGUCGACCCCUAAGGCGAGGCCGAAAGGCGUAGUCGAUGGGAAACGGGUUAAUAUUCCCGUACUUGGUGUUACUGCGAAGGGGGGACGGAGAAGGCUAUGUUGGCCGGGCGACGGUUGUCCCGGUUUAAGCGUGUAGGUGUGUGUUCCAGGUAAAUCCGGUUCACUUUAACACUGAGGCGUGAUGACGAGGCACUACGGUGCUGAAGCAACAAAUGCCCUGCUUCCAGGAAAAGCCUCUAAGCAUCAGGUAACAUCAAAUCGUACCCCAAACCGACACAGGUGGUCAGGUAGAGAAUACCAAGGCGCUUGAGAGAACUCGGGUGAAGGAACUAGGCAAAAUGGUGCCGUAACUUCGGGAGAAGGCACGCUGACA